This 258-nucleotide unclassified non-coding RNA is filed under the name uncultured fungus. RNAcentral's name for it is "partial contains small subunit ribosomal RNA, internal transcribed spacer 1, and 5.8S ribosomal RNA". The stretch from base 1 to 73 matches the Rfam family "Eukaryotic small subunit ribosomal RNA", at positions 1759 to 1831 of the family's 1831-position model. Lineage: Eukaryota; Fungi. The record is from RNAcentral.
GCAAACUUGGUCAUUUAGAGGAAGUAAAAGUCGUAACAAGGUCUCCGUAGGUGAACCUGCGGAGGGAUCAUUAAUGAGGGACCUUUUUUAAGGUCUUCAAACCCUUAAAAAUUUGUGGAUAUAUGACAAUGUGUUUCGGCGUUUUUGGACGUCGUAUUUAUGCUAGUAUUAAUAUAUUUUGAAGUCUGAAAUUGUAAAAUAAGAAUUAAAACUUUCAACAAAGGAUCUCUUGGCUCUUGCAUCGAUGAAGAACGCAGC